This 427-nucleotide ribosomal RNA is filed under the name uncultured Desulfovibrionaceae bacterium. RNAcentral describes it as "partial 16S ribosomal RNA". It matches the Rfam family "Bacterial small subunit ribosomal RNA", at positions 355 to 774 of the family's 1533-position model. The record is from RNAcentral. Lineage: Bacteria; Pseudomonadati; Thermodesulfobacteriota; Desulfovibrionia; Desulfovibrionales; Desulfovibrionaceae.
UGGGGAAUAUUGCGCAAUGGACGAAAGUCUGACGCAGCGACGCCGCGUGAGGGAUGAAGGUUCUCGGAUCGUAAACCUCUGUCAGAAGGGAAGAAAUUAUGCGAUGCUAAUCAGUUGCAUAUUGACGGUACCUUCAAAGGAAGCACCGGCUAACUCCGUGCCAGCAGCCGCGGUAAUACGGAGGGUGCAAGCGUUAAUCGGAAUCACUGGGCGUAAAGCGCGCGUAGGCUGUUAUUUAAGUCAGGGGUGAAAUCCCACCGCUCAACGGUGGAACUGCCUUUGAUACUGGGUAACUUGAGUGUGAGAGAGGAUAGCAGAAUUCCAAGUGUAGGAGUGAAAUCCGUAGAUAUUUGGAGGAAUACCGGUGGCGAAGGCGGCUAUCUGGCUCACAACUGACGCUGAGGUGCGAAAGCGUGGGGAGCAAACA